UGACAUAUUAGGCUGUCAGUGAACAUUUGC
This 30-nucleotide non-coding RNA is filed under the name Homo sapiens (human). The record is from RNAcentral. Lineage: Eukaryota; Metazoa; Chordata; Mammalia; Primates; Hominidae.